GCAGCUUCUAUGCCUUUUGGCUAAGAUCAAGCGUAGCAUCUAUUCUUAUCAGUUUAAUAUCUGAUACGUCCUCCACCGGGGGACUACAUAUUAAGUGGAUUUUUAGAACAGGGAGUUGGCAAAAGGGGCUUGCUCUUUCCACUCCACUAAUCGACCCAGUAUUGCAGUGCCUCUGGGAGCGGUGCACUUUCU
Molecule: small nuclear RNA, 192 nt
Gene: U2
Rfam family: U2 spliceosomal RNA
About the family: U2 is a small nuclear RNA (snRNA) component of the spliceosome (involved in pre-mRNA splicing). Complementary binding between U2 snRNA (in an area lying towards the 5' end but 3' to hairpin I) and the branchpoint sequence (BPS) of the intron results the bulging out of an unpaired adenosine, on the BPS, which initiates a nucleophilic attack at the intronic 5' splice site, thus starting the first of two transesterification reactions that mediate splicing.
Source: Ensembl